CGUGAGAACGUUUCACUAAUCCGCAUUCCCGUUUUCGUUCGAACCAAUUCUAACCAUUCGAUUUUUCGAACUUCACGCUUUCGAAUGUUUGUCGUAUUCCCGUUUUCGUUCGAAUGCGUAUUUUGAUACCUUUUCAGUUCGUCACUCUGACCUUGCGAAUUGAAGUGAGUUUAUUGCAAACCAAGUUUGCAAAGUCGGUGUUCCUGGCGAUACAUCGGCUCCAGCAUGGAUAAUCUCAAGUGGCCCAGUGCUCCAGUGCUACGUUUCAAUGGGCCAAUGGAUCUGUCUCUUCUGGGAUCCUGGGAUGAUGGAUGAUGCCUGGGAUGACCAGUCCAGCGCUUGCUUGCAGAUUUCGUCUUCGCUCCACCUUCAUUUACCCUCUCGUAUUUCAGAAUUUCCCUUGAAAUUUAAAAAUAAAUUCCCGAAGUUAUUCAGA
This is a long non-coding RNA of Armigeres subalbatus, 436 nucleotides long. RefSeq lists it as uncharacterized. NCBI's taxonomy places the organism in Eukaryota, Metazoa, Arthropoda, Insecta, Diptera, Culicidae. The transcript has 2 exons. The record is from RefSeq and is a predicted model, not a curated record.